GCCAAUGAUGAAGAUAUCGAAUGUGGCUGAAAUGCAAAAAAUUGCAUUUUAUUGAGGAAAAUUUUGAACUAGGACGGUCUGAGGC
Non-coding RNA from Cajanus cajan (pigeon pea), 85 nucleotides. The record is from Rfam. Lineage: Eukaryota; Viridiplantae; Streptophyta; Magnoliopsida; Fabales; Fabaceae.